RNAcentral lists this ribosomal RNA (253 nucleotides) under uncultured bacterium. Its description in RNAcentral is "partial 16S ribosomal RNA". It matches the Rfam family "Bacterial small subunit ribosomal RNA", at positions 524 to 776 of the family's 1533-position model. The record is from RNAcentral.
UACGUAGGGUGCGAGCGUUGUCCGGAAUUAUUGGGCGUAAAGAGCUCGUAGGUGGCUUGUCACGUCGGGUGUGAAAGCUUGGGGCUUAACUCCAGGUCUGCAUUCGAUACGGGCUGGCUAGAGGUAGGUAGGGGAGAACGGAAUUCCUGGUGUAGCGGUGAAAUGCGCAGAUAUCAGGAGGAACACCGGUGGCGAAGGCGGUUCUCUGGGCCUGUACUGACGCUGAGGAACGAAAGCGUGGGGAGCGAACAGG